RNAcentral lists this ribosomal RNA (371 nucleotides) under uncultured bacterium. Its description in RNAcentral is "bacterial SSU rRNA". It matches the Rfam family "Bacterial small subunit ribosomal RNA", at positions 527 to 896 of the family's 1533-position model. The record is from RNAcentral.
GGAGGGUGCGAGCGUUGUCCGGAAUCACUGGGCGUAAAGGGCGCGUAGGCGGCCUGAUAAGUGGGGGGUGAAAUCCUGUGGCUUAACCGCAGGGCUGCCUUCUAAACUGUCGGGCUCGAGCACAGUAGAGGCAGGUGGAAUUCCCGGUGUAGCGGUGGAAUGCGUAGAGAUCGGGAAGAACAUCAGUGGCGAAGGCGGCCUGCUGGGCUGUUGCUGACGCUGAGGCGCGACAGCGUGGGGAGCAAACAGGAUUAGAUACCCUGGUAGUCCACGCCGUAAACGAUGGGCACUAGGCGUCGGGGGGAGCGACCCUCCCGGUGCCGUCGCUAACGCAGUAAGUGCCCCGCCUGAGGAGUACGGCCGCAAAGCUG